Gossypium hirsutum (cotton) is the source of this 145-nucleotide non-coding RNA. The record is from Rfam. NCBI's taxonomy places the organism in Eukaryota, Viridiplantae, Streptophyta, Magnoliopsida, Malvales, Malvaceae.
UAUUAAAAAUUUCAUCUAUUUGUACUGUUAAAAAUUGACAUGCUUAACAUAAUAGUCAAACAGUGACACGUAGUGUGUUAUAUAUACAUCAUGUUAACGUACGAAGACUAAAUUUUAAUAAUAAAAAUAUAUGAAAUUUUUAACA